AUACGGAGGGUGCAAGCGUUAAUCGGAAUUACUGGGCGUAAAGCGUGCGUAGGUGGUUAAUUAAGUUAUCUGUGAAAUCCCUGGGCUUAACCUGGGCAGGUCAGAUGAUACUGGUUGACUCGAGUAUGGGAGAGGGUAGUGGAAUUUCCGGUGUAGCGGUGAAAUGCGUAGAGAUCGGAAGGAACACCAGUGGCGAAGGCGGCUACCUGGCCUAAUACUGACACUGAGGCACGAAAGCGUGGGGAGC
RNAcentral lists this ribosomal RNA (247 nucleotides) under uncultured bacterium. Its description in RNAcentral is "partial 16S ribosomal RNA". It matches the Rfam family "Bacterial small subunit ribosomal RNA", at positions 523 to 769 of the family's 1533-position model. The record is from RNAcentral.